Long non-coding RNA from Thrips palmi, 288 nucleotides. RefSeq lists it as uncharacterized. Lineage: Eukaryota; Metazoa; Arthropoda; Insecta; Thysanoptera; Thripidae. The transcript has 3 exons. The record is from RefSeq and is a predicted model, not a curated record.
CAGGAUAUCGGCCUGCCUUUAGGCACCCCACCUGCUGACAAAGGUUUAAUGCACGAGAUGAGCCUCCAACCUGGGUCAGAACCUGUGGUUUGAUCGAGCUGGGAAAAUUAUCAUUUCUGAAUGCAUCAUUGCAGAUUGUCGAGACCGAUGAAUUCUUUUUGGAGGAAGAGAAGAAAAAUAUACAACUAUUAAAAUAAAAACAAAAAAGAAAAAUCUGGGUCCCUUUUGAUAUGAUGACAUUGAGAUAAGCACAGUUUCCGGCCAAUUUUUUUCUUCCUAGAUGCAAAC